RNAcentral lists this non-coding RNA (27 nucleotides) under Mus musculus (house mouse). Lineage: Eukaryota; Metazoa; Chordata; Mammalia; Rodentia; Muridae. The record is from RNAcentral.
UAAAAACUAAUCUUUGUUGAUGAACUA